GCUUAACACAUGCAAGUCGAACGCUCGUAGCAAUACGGGAGUGGCAGACGGGUGAGUAACGCGUGGGAACAUACCCUCCGGUUCGGAAUAGCUCAGGGAAACUUGGAUUAAUACCGGAUACGGCUGAGAGGCGAAAGAUUUAUCGCCGGAGGAUUGGCCCGCGUUCGAUUAGCUUGUUGGUGAGGUAACGGCUCACCAAGGCGAUGAUCGAUAGCUGGUCUGAGAGGAUGAUCAGCCACAUUGGGACUGAGACACGGCCCAAACUCCUACGGGAGGCAGCAGUGGGGAAUAUUGGACAAUGGGCGCAAGCCUGAUCCAGCCAUGCCGCGUGAGUGAUGACGGCCUUAGGGUUGUAAAGCUCUUUCGCUCGGGACGAUAAUGACGGUACCGAGAUAAGAAGCCCCGGCUAACUUCGUGCCAGCAGCCGCGGUAAU
This 434-nucleotide ribosomal RNA is filed under the name uncultured bacterium. Its description in RNAcentral is "bacterial SSU rRNA". It matches the Rfam family "Bacterial small subunit ribosomal RNA", at positions 46 to 524 of the family's 1533-position model. The record is from RNAcentral.